This 253-nucleotide ribosomal RNA is filed under the name uncultured bacterium. RNAcentral's name for it is "partial 16S ribosomal RNA". It matches the Rfam family "Bacterial small subunit ribosomal RNA", at positions 524 to 776 of the family's 1533-position model. The record is from RNAcentral.
GACGGAGGGUGCUAGCGUUGUUCGGAAUGACUGGGCGUAAAGGGCGCGUAGGCGGCCGGUUGCGUCGGAUGUGAAAGCCCGGGGCUCAACCCCGGAACGGCAUCCGAUACGGGCUGGCUCGAGACCGAGAGAGGUGAGUGGAAUACCCAGUGUAGAGGUGAAAUUCGUAGAUAUUGGGUGGAACACCGGUGGCGAAGGCGGCUCACUGGCCCGAUACUGACGCUGAGGUGCGAAAGCGUGGGGAGCAAACAGG